RNAcentral lists this ribosomal RNA (235 nucleotides) under uncultured Candidatus Saccharibacteria bacterium. RNAcentral describes it as "partial 16S ribosomal RNA". It matches the Rfam family "Bacterial small subunit ribosomal RNA", at positions 584 to 818 of the family's 1533-position model. Lineage: Bacteria; Candidatus Saccharimonadota. The record is from RNAcentral.
AAAGCGAAUAGUGAAAUCUGGUGGCUCAACCAUUCAGGCUAUUAUUCGAACUCACUGACUCGAGAACAGCAGAGGUAACUGGAAUUUCUGAAGUAGGGGUAAUAUCCGUAGAUAUCAGAAGGAACACCAAUGGCGUAGGCAGGUUACUGGGCUGUUUCUGACACUGAGGCACGAAAGCGUGGGAGCGAACCGGAUUAGAUACCCGGGUAGUCCACGCCGUAAACGAUGGAUACUA